Phasianus colchicus (ring-necked pheasant) is the source of this 481-nucleotide non-coding RNA. The record is from RefSeq and is a predicted model, not a curated record. NCBI's taxonomy places the organism in Eukaryota, Metazoa, Chordata, Aves, Galliformes, Phasianidae.
GUGCCUGCGUGCGGAGGGCGUCAGCUCGGUGCUGCUGGGGGCUGCCAGCCCUGAGCUCCUCCGUGAGCAGCUGCGGGCCCUGCAGGUGCUGCCCCUGCUCUCCCCCCCCACGCUGCAGGAUCUCCAGGCUCUCCUAGGGGAUGCCUAAGCCCCUCCCCCCUUCGCGCCUGAUUGGCUGCGUCCUGCAUGAGCCCCACCCCUCGGCGGGGCCGGGCCACGCCCCCUAGCUCUCCCCAACCAAUCCCAGUGUGGGAGGGGGGCGGAGCCACUCGGCGCAGCCCCGCCCACCCCACCGUCGGUGACCAAUAGCAAUAAUACCUCCCCUCUCCACGUGGUGUGGGAGGGGUUUCGAAGCACAAGCCCCGCCCCCUUUCCCCCAAUCCACCAAUCGCAGCGCUUCCAGUGAGGGGAGGGGCCCCGGUUGGCUCCUCCCCCCCCGAGCCUCCAUGCCUGGAGGUUGGCAAUAAAGUGGCUUUUCCCA